This is a long non-coding RNA of Herpailurus yagouaroundi (jaguarundi), 646 nucleotides long. RefSeq lists it as uncharacterized. The record is from RefSeq and is a predicted model, not a curated record. Lineage: Eukaryota; Metazoa; Chordata; Mammalia; Carnivora; Felidae. The transcript has 2 exons.
GGUGGGACCCCCAGCAUUUUGGGUAGUGGGUCAUUCAUUCUUGAACGGGAACUAGGCGAUGACUCAUAACAUUCACCUAUUUCCCCUUUUCCCUAAGCUACUUUGAAUCGCAUUUUCUUACAAGAGACCCGACCUUUCGGAGGGAAGAUUGUUCCUUGUGGCUAGAAGAGUCAUGUUGUUUCACACCAGCAUGCAUGGAAAAGCAUUAGGGGACCACAAGGACAAGAAACACUCCGAAGAGAGAGGAGAAGAAAGCCACGUUGUGGGAGCUGAUGUGAUCCCAGCCUGGCCUUGAACAAGGGGGCCCUUAUGCAGGGAACCUAAUGAGGCCAGAAACUGUUUGGACCACGAAGAAACUUUAGAUUCUGUGGCCCAACCUUCUCAUUUUUAGGGAUGAAGAAAACCAAGACCCAGAGGUGAGAUCUGCAGCGUCCGUCUCCUAACGCUCUAGAAUUGUGGGCUCUAGGUCACGAGUCUGCGUCACGGGAUUCCUCUCCUGCCCACCAGACCCAGCCACAGACUCUGGGCAGGCCAGCCUCACGCGUCACGUGACGGGAGGGAAGGUCCUUGCACACUCAGGUACCCCCCACGGGAGAGGAAGUGCUGAGUGACCCCCGUGUGCAAAUAAAGCUGUUGGACCAAGGUG